CCUACGGGAGGCAGCAGUGGGGAAUAUUGGACAAUGGGGGAAACCCUGAUCCAGCGACGCCGCGUGAGUGAAGAAGUAUUUCGGUACGUAAAGCUCUAUCAGCAGGAAAGAAAAUGACGGUACCUGACUAAGAAGCCCCGGCGAACUACGUGCCAGCAGCCGCGGUAGUACGUAGGGGGCAAGCGUUAUCCGGAUUUACUGGGUGGAAAGGGAGCGUAGACGGCAGCGCAAGUCUGGAGUGAAAUGCCGGGGCACAACCCCGGAACUGCUCUGGAAACUGUGAAGCUGGAGUGCAGGAGAGGUAAGUGGAAUUCCUGGUGUAGCGGUGAAAUGCGUAGAUAUCAGGAGGAACAACGGCGGCGAAGGCGGCUUACUGGACUGUAACUGACGUUGAGGCUCGAAGGCGUGGGGAGCAAACAGGAUUAGAUACCCCUGUAGUC
RNAcentral lists this ribosomal RNA (440 nucleotides) under uncultured bacterium. RNAcentral's name for it is "partial 16S ribosomal RNA". It matches the Rfam family "Bacterial small subunit ribosomal RNA", at positions 338 to 795 of the family's 1533-position model. The record is from RNAcentral.